RNAcentral lists this long non-coding RNA (1634 nucleotides) under Homo sapiens (human). RNAcentral describes it as "HSALNT0363487". Lineage: Eukaryota; Metazoa; Chordata; Mammalia; Primates; Hominidae. The record is from RNAcentral.
GGAGAGCGCCUCCGCGGUGGGACGGAGCCGGACUGGGCCGAGCGAGGGAGGCUCCUGAGCCUCGGAGGACCCCGGGGUUGGCUUUGGGAGCUGAAAGUUUCCUUGGACCCCUCGGAAGCCCCGUGACAUCAGAGGCCGGGCCUGGCAGGGGCAGGCAGGAAACGUGUCUGGAGGCUACUGCCCUCUCCGCGUGACCUUGGGCGAGCAGCCUCCUCCUGGGGCUCAGUGGGUGUGAUUUUGUAACAUUUCCCAGCGCUGCCACAGGCGCGUCUCGCCCUGUCCAACGCGGAGCCCGAAGAAUUACUAAGAAACCGAGGUCUGAAGGAGGGAAGAGGUGACGGGCUCGAGGCCACACGGUGGGCCAGGCUGGGCCCGGCUGCACGCCGGCUACCGGGGCCCAGCCCUCUGCACGCCUCCCGCAGCCUCAGUUUCCCUGUCCGUGGUACUGAGGAUGCUCGGGCCUAGAAGUUCAGGGCUGGAGGCCCAGGGACCGUCGAGGGAGGGGCAUCAUCCCCGCCAUGGGGCCGCCGCAACUGCCCAGAGCACAGGCCAAAGACCCCUGAGGCCCCCUCCUCCUUCAGAGCAUGCACGUCGCAAAUUCUCAAUGACUGUUUGGAGGAAUGAAUAAAUGAAUUGUGAACAAAUGGUCUGAAGAUUCCAGAGGCUUCUGCCAUCACUCUGUGUGACUUCAACAUUCUACCUGCAUGACCUAUGCAGCACCUGGCCGCUGUUACCUUGCCACCCUCACUGACAUCUUCUCUGCAUAGGCCUUCCACCAUGCCCUGUACUUUCUCCCCACUAGAAAUAGCCCUGGCUCUGAAAUGUGUUUUAAUCAUCCCACUUUGGGUCCACCAGUUCCUAGCCUUUGAGCUUAGGCCUCUCCUCCAGGACCCUCCCUGGCUACGAUUUCCCAACCCCUCUCGACCUUCCAUUCACUGACCUUGCCACUUUCUUGCCUCUUGUCUGCACCUCUCCCCAUCCCUAGUGUGGAUUCCAUCCCCUUGUGAACGCUGCCACCCGUCCUGGCAGAGACUCAGUACUUCCACUCUCUGAAUGCAUUUCUUCUUCCUAGGCACACCAGAAGACUACAUUUCCUAGCCCCCCACCCCCUUGCAGUGUCUGGGACCAUGUGACUCCUUAAUUAGGUCACUUCUCUCUCCUGGGAGGCCCUCUCUGCCCUCUCUAAGUCUAACUAGUGGCAAAGGAUCUAAGGGAAGAAACCUGGCAGAGUUACUAGUCCCAAGAAGCCUGGGUCCCUGAAUCACCACAUGGAAGUCUACGCGCCCACCACCUGAAUGGACUAAGGAAGCUGCAGGAUGAAGACAACAGCAUCACAAGGAGGAAGCCAGGAUCCCUGUGUUACCACAAGGAGGAGAGAUGCCUAACCAAGACCGUCUGCAAGGAUUUUGUGUGAGCCAGAAGCAGAGCUGUAUGGUGUUCAGCCACUGAGAUUUGAGGGCUGUUUGUUACAGCAGUUGACCUAUCCUGACUGACACAUCACAUCAUUCCUUUCCCCACCAUGUGUCUAACAUGCUACCAAAUUGAAUUUUAAGUAAAUUAGUACUUAUAAAUUAAGUACAAAUGCUUUUCAAAUUCACAUGAAUCUUUGGUAAAUAAAACUGGUUGUAAAAUUA